RNAcentral lists this transfer RNA (75 nucleotides) under Planctomycetota bacterium. RNAcentral describes it as "tRNA-Pro". It matches the Rfam family "tRNA". Rfam says of the family: Transfer RNA (tRNA) molecules are approximately 80 nucleotides in length. RNAcentral also lists the same sequence under 1 other name. Lineage: Bacteria; Pseudomonadati; Planctomycetota. The record is from RNAcentral.
CGGGGCGUAGCUCAGCUUGGCUAGAGCGCAGCGUUCGGGACGCUGAGGUCGCAGGUUCGAAUCCUGUCGCCCCGA